Bos taurus (domestic cattle) is the source of this 253-nucleotide long non-coding RNA. Lineage: Eukaryota; Metazoa; Chordata; Mammalia; Artiodactyla; Bovidae. The record is from Ensembl.
UAAAUUCAUGUUUUCCCCAGAUGAGUGACAACUCCAGAGAAGGGAAUGUGGGAGGGCUUUCUAGAAGGAGAAGACAGCUUGGCCAAAGGUUCAGAGGUGCUGACGUGAGGGUCUGCUCGAGAGGAAGUGAUUUUCCCCAUUGCUCACAGCUGGACAUUACAUGUCAAGGAUGCUCUCAGAGGACUGGGAAAAGGUUCAGAGGUCCACAGAUAUGAUCCUUCUACUUGGGCUCCCGAAGCAAGCAGAAAGAUCC